Molecule: ribosomal RNA, 608 nt
Filed under: uncultured fungus
Lineage: Eukaryota; Fungi
Description: eukaryotic LSU rRNA
Rfam family: 5.8S ribosomal RNA (bases 234-387)
Source: RNAcentral
CUUGGUCAUUUAGAGGAAGUAAAAGUCGUAACAAGGUCUCCGUAGGUGAACCUGCGGAGGGAUCAUUACACAAAUAUGAAGGCGGGCUGGAACCUCUCGGGGUUACAGCCUUGCUGAAUUAUUCACCCUUGUCUUUUGCGUACUUCUUGUUUCCUUGGUGGGUUCGCCCACCACUAGGACAAACAUAAACCUUUUGUAAUUGCAAUCAGCGUCAGUAACAAAUUAAUAAUUACAACUUUCAACAACGGAUCUCUUGGUUCUGGCAUCGAUGAAGAACGCAGCGAAAUGCGAUAAGUAGUGUGAAUUGCAGAAUUCAGUGAAUCAUCGAAUCUUUGAACGCACAUUGCGCCCUUUGGUAUUCCAAAGGGCAUGCCUGUUCGAGCGUCAUUUGUACCCUCAAGCUUUGCUUGGUGUUGGGCGUCUUGUCUCUAGCUUUGCUGGAGACUCGCCUUAAAGUAAUUGGCAGCCGGCCUACUGGUUACGGAGCGCAGCACAAGUCGCACUCUCUAUCAGCAAAGGUCUAGCAUCCAUUAAGCCUUUUUUUCAACUUUUGACCUCGGAUCAGGUAGGGAUACCCGCUGAACUUAAGCAUAUCAAUAAGCGGAGGA